This is a small nuclear RNA of Musca domestica (house fly), 103 nucleotides long. The record is from RefSeq and is a predicted model, not a curated record. Lineage: Eukaryota; Metazoa; Arthropoda; Insecta; Diptera; Muscidae.
AGUUUUUUUAUCUCCCCUGUAUACUAAAAUUGGAAUGAUGCAGAAAAGAGUAGCAUGGAUUAGCAAGGAUGACACUCAAUAUCGUGAAUCUUUCCACAUUUUU